AUAGCAAUGGAGACAGCACACCAGUAUGAUAGUUAAGGGUUUCAAGAGGUGGGUGCAGUUGGGGACUCCUGGCAGAAGGGCAAGCACAUGACAUGGUCUCUCUCUCUCUCUCUCUCAUCCCUUGAUUGUGAAGGUGAUCCAGGUAGGCGAGCAGAUCAAGCUCGCAAAUAGAGGAGGUUACAGUUCAGGCCUACCAGUAGAGUGAUUACUUUAGGAAGGUUACUCAGUUGAGGGUAUUUUGGGAAACAGUCGUAUAUGUAUAUUUUGGGAACAUUUUAGCACUUUAGUAUUGUAUAUUUUCUUGAUUGUAUUUAUAUGAAUUCCGCUUCUCGUUGCUUAGGUUGAUGGUUUGGUUUAAUCUAGGAGGUAUCAGAGCAUUAUAAA
Malania oleifera is the source of this 384-nucleotide long non-coding RNA. RefSeq lists it as uncharacterized. Lineage: Eukaryota; Viridiplantae; Streptophyta; Magnoliopsida; Santalales; Ximeniaceae. The transcript is spliced from 2 exons. The record is from RefSeq and is a predicted model, not a curated record.